CUGGGAUGAGGCAGAAUACGCGGCCUGCAAAAUCAGACCAUAACCGACGCUUACCGCGCCGGUUAUUUUUUUGC
This 74-nucleotide small RNA is filed under the name Pantoea brenneri. RNAcentral's name for it is "STnc240". It matches the Rfam family "Enterobacterial sRNA STnc240". RNAcentral also lists the same sequence under 1 other name. The record is from RNAcentral. Lineage: Bacteria; Pseudomonadati; Pseudomonadota; Gammaproteobacteria; Enterobacterales; Erwiniaceae.